Molecule: ribosomal RNA, 400 nt
Filed under: uncultured bacterium
Lineage: Bacteria
Description: bacterial SSU rRNA
Rfam family: Bacterial small subunit ribosomal RNA
Source: RNAcentral
UGGGGAAUAUUGGACAAUGGGGGCAACCCUGAUCCAGCAAUGCCGCGUGUGUGAAGAAGGCCUGAGGGUUGUAAAGCACUUUCGGCGGGGAGGAGGGCAGAUUGGUUAAGAGCUGAUUUGUUGGACGUUACCCGCAUAAGAAGCACCGGCUAACUCCGUGCCAGCAGCCGCGGUAAUACGGAGGGUGCGAGCGUUAAUCGGAAUUACUGGGCGUAAAGGGUGCGUAGGUGGUUGAGUAAGUUAUCUGUGAAAGCCCAGGGCUUAACCUUGGAGGGUCAGAUAAGACUAUUUAGCUAGAGUAUGAGAGAGGGUAGUGGAAUUUCCGGUGUAGCGGUGAAAUGCGUAGAGAUCGGAAGGAACACCAGUGGCGAAGGCGGCUACCUGGCUUAAUACUGACACU